CGGAAGUAGUUCAGUGGUAGAACAUCACCUUGCCAUGGUGGGGGUCGCGGGUUCAAAUCCCGUCUUCC
RNAcentral lists this transfer RNA (68 nucleotides) under uncultured Sporolactobacillus sp. It matches the Rfam family "tRNA". Rfam says of the family: Transfer RNA (tRNA) molecules are approximately 80 nucleotides in length. Their secondary structure includes four short double-helical elements and three loops (D, anti-codon, and T loops). The record is from RNAcentral. Lineage: Bacteria; Bacillati; Bacillota; Bacilli; Caryophanales; Sporolactobacillaceae.